UGGUGGAGUGAUUUGUCAGGUUAAUUCCCUUAACGAACGAGACCUUAACCUGCUAAAUAGAAGCGUUUAUAUAUUAAACGUAUUCUUCUUAGAGGGACUACUGUACAUCAAGACAGUGGAAGUUUGAGGCAAUAACA
This 137-nucleotide ribosomal RNA is filed under the name uncultured eukaryote. RNAcentral's name for it is "partial 18S ribosomal RNA". It matches the Rfam family "Eukaryotic small subunit ribosomal RNA", at positions 1299 to 1458 of the family's 1831-position model. The record is from RNAcentral.